UUCAAUUAAGAUUGCAUUAUCGAGAUUGGAAUCACAAGAACAUGGAAAGAACUGGACGUGUCUCCCAGCGUGGUGCGUGUUUCGUCCGGGAAUUAAUCUUGUGAUGUUUGCUCGAGGCGAUGUAGCCUUGAUUGUCACAGUAGAUUGGUGUUGGGCCGGGUGUCGUUGAGGAGGCGGCGAAGCCAGAUGGCCUCUUUGCAUGCGGAACUAGCCUCCGCCUCACAGCUGGAGCAGGCAACGACGCUCUUCUUCUUGCUGCUAACUGCAUUGUGAAGGCUAAACAAUUUAGCCAAAGCCAGCCCAGUAAGCUUGACUCGUGGCCUUAAGACCGCAAGAAAACGUAUCUCGGAAGUACGAAAAGACGCGUUUUAGUCAAUGUUGAGGUCCAGGAUUGUCAAGGGUUCUUGCACAAAGUGGAAUUCGAAUGGAUUAGCGCACCUUCCAUGGCGUCCAUAUCCCCUCUAUAACUAGAAAAAAAACACACUCCAACAAGCGAACGAAGCAUUUUCCUAGGCUAUGGCAUUGAACACAAGGCUUACAAGGUCUACAAUCCUGUCUCCAAGGCGCUGAUCAUCUCACCAGACGUGCAUCCAAUGAGACUCCAUCACGUCAAGUGGGAGAAAAUCUGCCUUUGCCAGUGCUGCCCAAUGCCCAAUCCGAACGACCUGCGAAUCUUCAAGACUCACUGCAGCCGCUCCUCUUUGCAGAUCUUCUCGCCAGAACAAGGGCAAGCCACCACCACGGCUGAUUGCUCGCAGCUGUACACGACAUCCCUGAAAGUCUUGUGGAGACUUUGAACUUCUGGGAAUUCCAAGCGGCUCUCAAGUCUCUUGAAGUUGACAGGGAAAAAUGGAAAGUUGCCUUUAUCAUUCCCCUCACCUUGGUGAGACAAGCGCCUCCUGGACGCAUGCUGGGUGUGUGACUGUAAUGGGAGGGAGCGGAGGUGCGGAAGAAUGGGAAAAGAAGUGGAGGUGGAGGAUUUGGAGAAUUCACCGCCAGAUGGAAAGAGCCUGACGUGUCUUCUUGCGUGACGUGUCAGCCACGUGGCUGUCCGCCUCUUCAAUCAUGAUGGUGGUUGUCCUCGGAAGGGCCGGAGGGUGGCGUGGGCUGACCCUGGAUGAGCAUUCUCCGGGAGGUCCUUUCGAGAAGAGUGUGGAUCUUGUUAACAACAGGAAGGCGCAAUUCGGAAUUGAAAAGCUCGGCCUGCUGGCUCAUCACCGAAAACGAGCCCGGCCUGGAACAUUUGAUGUUGCCGCUGAUCAUGAUCACCAAUGCGAUGGCAACAAGCAUCCUUCCACGAUCCAUUCCAGCCACAAAAGCACUAAACGUAGUGAUGAUAUCGUUGUAUAAGAACCAAGAGCUGUGCUUGCUCCGAUACGAUUGGAUCCAAUGGGCC
Molecule: long non-coding RNA, 1396 nt
Filed under: Selaginella moellendorffii
Lineage: Eukaryota; Viridiplantae; Streptophyta; Lycopodiopsida; Selaginellales; Selaginellaceae
Description: long non-coding RNA (SMOE_LNC002168)
Source: RNAcentral